This 659-nucleotide small RNA is filed under the name Pan troglodytes (chimpanzee). Its description in RNAcentral is "retained intron". The record is from RNAcentral. Lineage: Eukaryota; Metazoa; Chordata; Mammalia; Primates; Hominidae.
UUUAUUUCAUAUGUUGUCUCCCCUCCUUGACUGUCUUCAUGAAUCCAAAUAACCUCCCAGAUUAUGUCUAUUUAUUCAGCAUGUCCUCUUAAUCCUUUUACCUGCAGUAUAAAGCAACACCAAAAUAUAUAAAAUAAUAAAACUAUAGAGCAAAGUAAGGAAAUGAUUGCUGGAAAAAUCACAAUGGUCAUCAUUUCUAGGUGGGAAAGAGAAUUGUGAUUUGGAAUGGACACAUGGUGACUACAAAGAUGCAGCUCUAUUCUGUUUCUUGGAAACACGAGUGUUUGCUUUAUAAUUAUUUAUUAACUAUAGAUUUGUAUCUUUUGAGCUUUCUGAAUAUAUGCUGUAUUUCACAAUAAAGAUGUUCAAAAAAUUAAAUGAAAACUCUGAUAUUUUAAAUGCGAGAAGUGAGGCAUAUCGGUUAACUUCUUUGUUUUUGUAGGCAGGUGUUAUUGCACUGUUUGUAUGAUUCAGACCCACCUACUCUGCUGGAAACAAGCAGAAAUUCAACCCACGUUUACCAUGUAGGUUGUUGCUUACUUGCCUUUCCCAGGCAGAAGUGGCCAGUGUUUGGGUUGAAAGGAUCCGGGAACAUCCAGCUAUUUAUGAUAGCAUUUGCUUCAUUAUGUCAAGUUCAACAAAUGUUGACUUGCUGGUGA